UACAGAGGGUGCAAGCGUUGUUCGGAAUUACUGGGCGUAAAGCGCGUGUAGGCGGGAUGGCAAGUCAGAUGUGAAAUACCGGGGCUUAACCCUGGUGCUGCAUCUGAAACUGCUGUUCUUGAGUGCCGGAGAGGAAAGCGGAAUUCCCAGUGUAGCGGUGAAAUGCGUAGAUAUUGGGAGGAACACCGGUGGCGAAGGCGGCUUUCUGGCCUAAGACUGACGCUGAGGUGCGAAAGCGUGGGGAGCAAACAGG
This 253-nucleotide ribosomal RNA is filed under the name uncultured bacterium. RNAcentral describes it as "partial 16S ribosomal RNA". It matches the Rfam family "Bacterial small subunit ribosomal RNA", at positions 524 to 776 of the family's 1533-position model. The record is from RNAcentral.